AGGGCGCUUUGUUCACCACGUCGGAGAAGAAAUCGGCCAUUUUUUAGUAUUCUCUGUACGCUGCAAGAUGAGUUACGGAAGAGGUCCUCCAAAUUCUGAGGGAAUGAUUUCCCUCAAAGUGGAUAAUCUCACCUAUAGAACCACACCAGAAAAUUUAAAAAGGGCAUUUGAAAAGUAUGGCGAUGUUGGAGAUGUUUAUAUCCCACGCGAUCGCUUUACACGCGAAAGUAGGGGUUUUGCCUUUGUCCGAUUUUACGACAAGAGGGAUGCCGAAGACGCAAUGGAUUCCAUGGAUGGUGCCAUCUUUGACGGCCGCGAACUGAGAGUGCAGACAGCACGGUACGGAAGACCAGACACACGACGCGGUGGCCCACCGAGACGGUAUGGAGGAGGGUACAGUCGAAAUAAUAGAGAUCGCAGAAGCAGGUCGAGGUCAAGAUCCAGAGACCGACGAGGAGAUCGCAGACGACGUUCAGAUAGUAGAUCAAGGAGAAGUCGAUCGUACAGCAGAAGCCGAAGUAGGUCCCCAAAGAGCCAGAGCAGAUCCCGCAGUCGAAGCCAGAGCAAAGGAAGCGACCGUGGACAUUCCAGAUCUCGUUCACCAGCCAAAUCUGAUCAUUCUGUUGGUGAAAAGGAUUGAUUAACUGGGAAGUUUCUGUGGAGCCACACUUGUUGAUAUGCUGAGAGAUACUCUUGGUGUACUCUCCUGAUUAUGAAAAGGAGGGCGGAGGUUGUUAGUGGCACGUGUAAUGUUAUCAGUGCUGGGUGCCUGUCUGCAGUCAGUGCGGGUUAUCCUGGGCAGGUGUUAAUCGAGAAUAAGAGAGCGUUAGUCAAGAUUCACGAGAAUCGAGGUCUUGCUGUGGUUGAGUCGAGAGCUAACCAAGCUGCAUGGGCAGUGCUGAUUGCAUCACCAGCUCUUCCAGUCAAACAUGCUGGCUAGAAAUGGCGACAGUUUUCUCGCUGCAGUUUUGAUCGGUCCACAACUACAGCUUUAUUUCCUUCAUCAACAUGUUUUAUUUUGGCUUAAAUUUAUCCAGCAGUUUCUUUGGUUAAAUUUAAUUUUUAAAAAAUAUUCCAGCAUCCUUUGCUGAUAUACUAUUUUCAAUACAAUUUAAUUUUAAUGAAAUAAUUUUAUACUAAACACUAUCUUGGUACAUAAACAGAUUAAUAAUACAGAUUUUUAAGAUUCAACUAUGGACAUUCAUUACACUAACUUAUUUUUACUAUUUUAAUUUAUUCACUGCUGAAUUUAAAAAUUGCCACUUUAUACAAUGCAUUUUUAUAACAUGAUUUAAAAAAAAUGGCUCAAGAUUUUAAAUAGUUUUUUGUUUUACAUAUGGUAUUUUUUAAUUAUAUAUAUAUUUUUAAAUAUAUAUUUUUACCAUGUUGGGUUUUUAGCCAUGUGUGGUGGGUUUUGUUUAAUAAAGGGGUCAAAGGUGAUGGCUGAAAGCAGAGUAGCUGGGAGAGGGGACUACAGCAGUUUUAUGAUAUAAUUAACUUUUAUUUACCAGUGUUGUCUGGCAAUUUAGUCCACAGUGAAUUUAACCAUUUUUGACCAGGUAAGGACACUAUAAAGCUUUGUCAUUGUGACUUUGUUGAUCGGCGUCUGGUGCAUUCAGUGAUACUGGGUCCGAUAAUUUAAUUUGUACAUAGAAUUGUAAGUACAUAGAAAUUAUAAUCUAUUGUGUGUAAAAUUGAUGUUUAUCCCUCUACUAGUCUUUGUGUAAAGUGUGAACUUUACCACCAUACAAAGUAACCUUUGCCAGUAAAUACAAUUUGUGGAACUGUUGACUAAUGAGUACUAUAAUUAUAUACUCCUUGGUGUGAUAAUUUGGAAAUCCUGUAAUGGCACAAGCUGUGUAAAUUUUAAUAAGUUAAUUAAGUUGGUACAUUUUAUUUUUAUGCAUUACAUUUCAAUUAAAAUAUUGACCAUUAUUUUCACUGUCCUCUCACUAUACCUGUCCAAUGUUAAGAGUAGAUCUGUACACUGUAAAUGAUUAAUGGAUUUUCAGAUCUAUCCUCCCUCCUGCUAGAUCAUAACUACUUCCUGGGAGAGAUCUCGUCUCGACUCCUUUGUUAAGAGAUGUAGAAACGGUCCAUUUCCAGUAUCGUGAGUUGCUACAUACCUGAGAAGAAAUCUGCUUCGCAUAUCUUGAUGUUGGAGCCCGUAAACAUCUUUUCAAGCUUUUCAGAUGGACUUCUGGCGUUUCUAGUCUUGAUGAUUUUAAUUAUUAAAUUUAAAUAAAUUGUUUAAAUGUU
Molecule: unclassified non-coding RNA, 2259 nt
Filed under: Gigantopelta aegis
Lineage: Eukaryota; Metazoa; Mollusca; Gastropoda; Neomphalida; Peltospiridae
Description: serine/arginine-rich splicing factor 2-like, transcript variant X2
Source: RNAcentral